RNAcentral lists this ribosomal RNA (1021 nucleotides) under Leotiomycetes sp. genotype 650 JMUR-2016. RNAcentral's name for it is "eukaryotic LSU rRNA". The stretch from base 437 to 1021 matches the Rfam family "Eukaryotic large subunit ribosomal RNA", at positions 1 to 588 of the family's 3401-position model. The record is from RNAcentral. Lineage: Eukaryota; Fungi; Ascomycota; Leotiomycetes.
GGCUCUCGAGCCCUAUUCUCACCCCGUGUCUACCUACUUUGUUGCUUCGGCGGCGCCAGCUCCGGCUGGGCUAAGUCCGUCGAGGGCCCAACUCUUGAAUCUCUGCUGUCUGAGUACUAGCUAAUAGUCAAAAACUUUCAACAACGGAUCUCUUGGUUCUGGCAUCGAUGAAGAACGCAGCGAAAUGCGAUAAGUAAUGUGAAUUGCAGAAUUCAGUGAAUCAUCGAAUCUUUGAACGCACAUUGCGCCCUCUGGCAUUCCGGGGGGCAUGCCUGUUCGAGCGUCAUUGCAACCCUCAAGCUCUGCUUGGUGUUGGGCUCGCCCUGUGGGGCCGGCCUCAAAGUCAGUGGCGGCAACGUCUGACCCCAAGCGUAGUAAUACUUGCCGCUUGUUGGGUGCGGGCGGUGGCUUGCUAACAACCCCCACUUUUACCGGUUGACCUCGGAUCAGGUAGGGAUACCCGCUGAACUUAAGCAUAUCAAUAAGCGGAGGAAAAGAAACCAACAGGGAUGGCCCCAGUAACGGCGAGUGAAGCGGCCACAGCUCAAAUUUGAAAGCUGGCCCCCUGGGGGGCCCGCGUUGUAAUUUGUAGAGGAUGCUUCGGGUGCGGCGCCGGUCUAAGUUCCUUGGAACAGGACGUCAUGGAGGGUGAGAAUCCCGUAUGUGACUGGUUGCCUGCGCCCGUGUGAAGCUCCUUCGACGAGUCGAGUUGUUUGGGAAUGCAGCUCUAAAUGGGUGGUAAAUUUCAUCUAAAGCUAAAUAUCGGCCAGAGACCGAUAGCGCACAAGUAGAGUGAUCGAAAGAUGAAAAGCACUUUGGAAAGAGAGUUAAACAGUACGUGAAAUUGUUGAAAGGGAAGCGCUUGCAACCAGACUUGCGCGGCGUCGAUCAGCCUGGGUUCUCCCUGGUGCACUCGGCGCCGCGCAGGCCAGCAUCAGUUCUGCCGGUGGGACAAAGGCCUAGGGAACGUGGGACGCCUCGGCGACCGUUAUAGCCCUAGGUGCCAUGCCGCCUGGCGGGA